UCAUCCUCGAAUUACCUUGAUAGGGUAGCUGUGAUUAUGUCUGUCUUACAGAUGAGGAAACUGAAGGCUAGGCCAGUUAAAUAGCUUGUCCUAGGUCACACAACUACUGAGUGAUAGACGCAGUUCUCAGAUCUGACUUGAAAUCCUGCACUCAUUCUGCUGUAUUCACAGGAAGAGGAGAUUGGUUACAGACAAGCACAGAAGGAAGACCACACGAAGACACAGAAUGGAGGCUCUCUCUAUGCUACACAGAGAAGUCUCAGAAGAAACCAAUCUUGCUGGCACCUUGAUCUCAGGCUUCCAGCCUCCAGAAUUGUGAGAAAAUAAAGUUCUGUUGUUUGUCACCCCAUCUGUGGUAGGUUGUUAUGGCAGCCUGAGGAAACUAAUACAGGUGUCCUAAUGGAAAGGCCCAUGCUCUCAUAGCUGCUUGGCAGCCUCCAGGGUGAGUAAGAUGUGGCUGGAACGCAAGCACGCAUUGUCUGCAAGUCCUCAGCUGCUGAGGGAAGGCUGGACCUUGUGCUUGGCUGCAGGGUGUGGCCUCUGACACGGAAGCACUUUUCCAGCCCUGGGUGACUCUUGGAGUGAGUAUUAUCACAGACCAUGUCUGCACAAUUUACAUCCACCAAUGAAUUAACUUCUAUUUACAAGACUUGAAGAAAUGCACCAAGGUCGGCUGAAUGAAAACUCAACGAAUGCAAAACCAGAGGAUACAAAGGCCUGACUGUAUUUCUGAUCAACUGGCUAUAAAUCAGGAGUUCCCACA
Molecule: long non-coding RNA, 763 nt
Filed under: Homo sapiens (human)
Lineage: Eukaryota; Metazoa; Chordata; Mammalia; Primates; Hominidae
Description: HSALNT0183316
Source: RNAcentral